UCGAGAAUCUUCCGCAAUGGGCGCAAGCCUGACGGAGCAAUGCCGCGUGAAGGAUGAAGGUCUUUGGAUUGUAAACUUCUGUCACCGGGGAUGAAUAAUGACAGUACCCGGGAAGGAAGCCACGGCUAACUACGUGCCAGCAGCCGCGGUAAUACGUAGGUGGCGAGCGUUGUUCGGAAUUAUUGGGCGUAAAGGGUUCGUAGGAGGUUUUUUAAGAUUGAUGUGAAAUCCCAAGGCUCAACCCUGGAACUGCAUUGAUGACUGAGGAACUAGAGUAUCGUAGAGGAGAGCGGAAUUCCAGGUGUAGCGGUGGAAUGCGUAGAUAUCUGGAAGAACACCGACAGCGAAGGCAGCUCUCUGGGCGAAAACUGACUCUGAGGAACGAAAGCGUGGGUAGCAAACA
Molecule: ribosomal RNA, 403 nt
Filed under: uncultured bacterium
Lineage: Bacteria
Description: partial 16S ribosomal RNA
Rfam family: Bacterial small subunit ribosomal RNA
Source: RNAcentral